Molecule: non-coding RNA, 108 nt
Organism: Citrus sinensis (sweet orange)
Lineage: Eukaryota; Viridiplantae; Streptophyta; Magnoliopsida; Sapindales; Rutaceae
Source: Rfam
AUGCCAUGAUGAAGACAUCUUCUAGGCAACUCCUUAAAUCUUUCCCAAGCCUCAUAUAAAUUUUCAUCUUUAAGUUGAUGAAAAGAGGUGAUUUCAUUCCAUAAUUUU